RNAcentral lists this ribosomal RNA (497 nucleotides) under uncultured bacterium. RNAcentral describes it as "partial 16S ribosomal RNA". It matches the Rfam family "Bacterial small subunit ribosomal RNA", at positions 28 to 507 of the family's 1533-position model. The record is from RNAcentral.
GAUGAACGCUGGCGGCGUGCCUAAUACAUGCAAGUCGAGCGAACGGACGAGAAGCUUGCUUCUCUGAUGUUAGCGGCGGACGGGUGAGUAACACGUGGAUAACCUACCUAUAAGACUGGGAUAACUUCGGGAAACCGGAGCUAAUACCGGAUGAUAUUUUGAACCGCAUGGUUCAAAGGUGAAAGACGGUCUUGCUGUCACUUAUAGAUGGAUCCGCGCUGCAUUAGCUAGUUGGUAAGGUAACGGCUUACCAAGGCAACGAUGCAUAGCCGACCUGAGAGGGUGAUCGGCCACACUGGAACUGAGACACGGUCCAGACUCCUACGGGAGGCAGCAGUAGGGAAUCUUCCGCAAUGGGCGAAAGCCUGACGGAGCAACGCCGCGUGAGUGAUGAAGGUCUUCGGAUCGUAAAACUCUGUUAUUAGUGAAGAACAUAUGUGUAAGUAACUGUGCACAUCUUGACGGUACCUAAUCAGAAAGCCACGGCUAACUACGUG